Non-coding RNA from Aedes albopictus (Asian tiger mosquito), 58 nucleotides. Lineage: Eukaryota; Metazoa; Arthropoda; Insecta; Diptera; Culicidae. The record is from Rfam.
UGGCCUAGUGGUUAAGGCUAUGGAUCGCCAAUCCGGAAACGGCGGGUUCGAUUCCCGU